UUUGAUAAGUUAGAGGUGAAAUUUCGGGGCUCAACCCUGAACGUGCCUCUAAUACUGUUGAGCUAGAGAGUAGUUGCGGUAGGCGGAAUGUAUGGUGUAGCGGUGAAAUGCUUAGAGAUCAUACAGAACACCGAUUGCGAAGGCAGCUUACCAAACUAUAUCUGACGUUGAGGCACGAAAGCGUGGGGAGCAAACAGGAUUAGAUACCCUGGUAGUCCACGCAGUAAACGAUGAUAACUCGUUGUCGGCGAUACACAGUCGGUGACUAAGCGAAAGCGAUAAGUUAUCCACCUGGGGAGUACGUUCGCAAGAAUGAAACUCAAAGGAAUUGACGGGGGCCCGCACAAGCGGAGGAACAUGUGGUUUAAUUCGAUGAUACGCGAGGAACCUUACCCGGGCUUGAAAGUUAGCGACGAUUCUUGAAAGAGGAUUUCCCUUCGGGGCGCGAAACUAGGUGCUGCAUGGUUGUCGUCAGCUCGUGCCGUGAGGUGUCGGGUUAAGUCCCAUAACGAGCGCAACCCCUACCGUUAGUUGCCAUCAGGUCAAGCUGGGCACUCUGGCGGGACUGCCGGUGUAAGCCGAGAGGAAGGUGGGGAUGACGUCAAAUCAGCACGGCCCUUACGUCCGGGGCUACACACGUGUUACAAUGGUAGGUACAGAGGGCAGCUACCCAGCGAUGGGAUGCGAAUCUCGAAAGCCUAUCUCAGUUCGGAUCGGAGGCUGAAACCCGCCUCCGUGAAGUUGGAUUCGCUAGUAAUCGCGCAUCAGCC
RNAcentral lists this ribosomal RNA (770 nucleotides) under human gut metagenome. RNAcentral describes it as "bacterial SSU rRNA". It matches the Rfam family "Bacterial small subunit ribosomal RNA", at positions 579 to 1354 of the family's 1533-position model. The record is from RNAcentral.